Molecule: ribosomal RNA, 969 nt
Filed under: uncultured bacterium
Lineage: Bacteria
Description: bacterial SSU rRNA
Rfam family: Bacterial small subunit ribosomal RNA
Source: RNAcentral
CAUGCAAGUCGAGGGGCAGCAUCAUCAAAGCUUGCUUUGAUGGAUGGCGACCGGCGCACGGGUGAGUAACACGUAUCCAACCUGCCGACAACACUGGGAUAGCCUUUCGAAAGAAAGAUUAAUACCGGAUGGCAUAAUUAUUCCGCAUGGGAUAAUUAUUAAAGAAUUUCGGUUGUCGAUGGGGAUGCGUUCCAUUAGGCAGUUGGCGGGGUAACGGCCCACCAAACCUACGAUGGAUAGGGGUUCUGAGAGGAAGGUCCCCCACAUUGGAACUGAGACACGGUCCAAACUCCUACGGGAGGCAGCAGUGAGGAAUAUUGGUCAAUGGACGAGAGUCUGAACCAGCCAAGUAGCGUGAAGGAUGACUGCCCUAUGGGUUGUAAACUUCUUUUAUACGGGAAUAAAGUGAGCCACGUGUGGCUUUUUGUAUGUACCGUAUGAAUAAGGAUCGGCUAACUCCGUGCCAGCAGCCGCGGUAAUACGGAGGAUUCGAGCGUUAUCCGGAUUUAUUGGGUUUAAAGGGAGCGUAGGCGGGUUGUUAAGUCAGUUGUGAAAGUUUGCGGCUCAACCGUAAAAUUGCAGUUGAUACUGGCGACCUUGAGUGCAACAGAGGUAGGCGGAAUUCGUGGUGUAGCGGUGAAAUGCUUAGAUAUCACGAAGAACUCCGAUUGCGAAGGCAGCUUACUGGAUUGUAACUGACGCUGAUGCUCGAAAGUGUGGGUAUCAAACAGGAUUAGAUACCCUGGUAGUCCACACAGUAAACGAUGAAUACUCGCUGUUGGCGAUAUACAGUCAGCGGCCAAGCGAAAGCAUUAAGUAUUCCACCUGGGGAGUACGCCGGCAACGGUGAAACUCAAAGGAAUUGACGGGGGCCCGCACAAGCGGGGGAACAUGUGGUUUAAUUCGAUGAUACGCGAGGGACCUUACCCGGGCUUAAAUUGCAACUGACUGAACCGGAAACGGUUCUUU